UGUCACUAGUCAGAAAGGUGUCACUGGGGC
This 30-nucleotide non-coding RNA is filed under the name Rattus norvegicus (Norway rat). Lineage: Eukaryota; Metazoa; Chordata; Mammalia; Rodentia; Muridae. The record is from RNAcentral.